This 504-nucleotide ribosomal RNA is filed under the name uncultured bacterium. RNAcentral's name for it is "partial 16S ribosomal RNA". It matches the Rfam family "Bacterial small subunit ribosomal RNA", at positions 28 to 523 of the family's 1533-position model. The record is from RNAcentral.
GAUAAACGCUAGCGGCAGGCUUAACACACGCAAGUCGAGGGGCAGCAUAGAUUGUAGCAAUACAAUUGGUGGCGACCGGCGCACGGGUGCGUAACGCGUAUGCAACCUACCCGUCACAGGGGGAUAAUCCGGAGAAAUCUGGUCUAAUACCCCAUAACAUAUGGAUCGGCAUCGGUUCAUGUUGAAAUUUUCGGAGGUGACGGAUGGGCAUGCGUAGCAUUAGCUUGUCGGUGAGGUAACGGCUCACCAAGGCGACGAUGCUUAGGGGGACUGAGAGGUUUUCCCCCCACACUGGUACUGAGACACGGACCAGACUCCUACGGGAGGCAGCAGUGAGGAAUAUUGGUCAAUGGGCGCAAGCCUGAACCAGCCAUGCCGCGUGCAGGAUGACGGCUCUAUGAGUUGUAAACUGCUUUUGUACGAGGGUAAAGUGGGUUACGCGUAACCUUUUGAAAGUAUCGUACGAAUAAGGAUCGGCUAACUCCGUGCCAGCAGCCGCCGUAA